GACGAACGCUGGCGGCGUGCUUAACACAUGCAAGUCGAACGGAAAGGCCCUGCUUUUGUGGGGUGCUCGAGUGGCGAACGGGUGAGUAACACGUGAGUAACCUGCCCUUGACUUUGGGAUAACUUCCGGAAACUGGGGCUAAUACCGGAUAGGAGCUCCUGCUGCAUGGUGGGGGUUGGAAAGUUUCGGCGGUUGGGGCUGGACUCGCGGCUUAUCAGCUUGUUGGUGGGGUAGUGGCUUACCAAGGCUUUGACGGGUAGCCGGCCUGAGAGGGUGACCGGCCUCAUUGGGACUGCGAUACGGCCCAGACUCCUACGGGAGGCAGCAGUGGGGAAUAUUGCACAAUGGGCGGAAGCCUGAUGCAGCGACGCCGCGUGCGGGAUGACGGCCUUCGGGUUGUAAACCGCUGUCGCCUGUGACGAAGCGUGAGUGACGGUAAUGGGUAAAGAAGCACCGGCUAACUACGUG
RNAcentral lists this ribosomal RNA (468 nucleotides) under uncultured bacterium. Its description in RNAcentral is "partial 16S ribosomal RNA". It matches the Rfam family "Bacterial small subunit ribosomal RNA", at positions 28 to 507 of the family's 1533-position model. The record is from RNAcentral.